This 30-nucleotide non-coding RNA is filed under the name Mus musculus (house mouse). Lineage: Eukaryota; Metazoa; Chordata; Mammalia; Rodentia; Muridae. The record is from RNAcentral.
UGGCCAGAAGAAUUGCCACAAAUUCUGGGA